CCUACGGGCGGCAGCAGUGAGGAAUAUUGGUCAAUGGCCGAAAGGCUGAACCAGCCAAGUAGCGUGAAGGAUGACUGCCCUAUGGGUUGUAAACUUCUUUUAUAAAGGAAUAAAACGAGGCACGUGUGCCUUUUUGCAUGUACUUUAUGCAUAAGGAUCGGCUAACUCCGUGCCAGCAGCCGCGGGAAUACGGAGGAUCCGAGCGUUAUCCGGAUUUAUUGGGUUUAAAGGGAGCGUAGAUGGGUUGUUAAGUCAGUGGUGAAAGUUUGCGGCUCACCAGUAAAAUUGCAAUUGAGACUGGCAGUCUUGAGUACAGUUGAGGUAGGCGGAAUUCGUGGUGUAGCGGUGAAAUGCUUAGAUAUCACGAAGAACCCCGAUUGCGAAGGCAGCUUACUAAACUGUGACUGACAUUGAUGCUCGAAAGCGUGGGGAGCAAACAGGAUUAGAUACCCGGGUAGUC
This 460-nucleotide ribosomal RNA is filed under the name uncultured bacterium. Its description in RNAcentral is "partial 16S ribosomal RNA". It matches the Rfam family "Bacterial small subunit ribosomal RNA", at positions 338 to 795 of the family's 1533-position model. The record is from RNAcentral.